GCUUGGGUGGCUCAGUCGGUUAAGCUUCUGACUUCGGCUCAGGUCAUGAUCUCAUGGUUUGUGGGUUUGAGCCCCGCUUUGGGCU
RNAcentral lists this transfer RNA (85 nucleotides) under Felis catus (domestic cat). It matches the Rfam family "tRNA". From Rfam's summary of the family: Transfer RNA (tRNA) molecules are approximately 80 nucleotides in length. Their secondary structure includes four short double-helical elements and three loops (D, anti-codon, and T loops). Lineage: Eukaryota; Metazoa; Chordata; Mammalia; Carnivora; Felidae. The record is from Rfam by way of RNAcentral.